GGCAUUGUGGCUUGGCUGGUUAAAGCACCUGGCAAGUAAACAGGAGAUCCUGGGUCCAAAUCCCAGCAGUGCCA
RNAcentral lists this transfer RNA (74 nucleotides) under Oryzias latipes (Japanese medaka). It matches the Rfam family "tRNA". From Rfam's summary of the family: Transfer RNA (tRNA) molecules are approximately 80 nucleotides in length. Their secondary structure includes four short double-helical elements and three loops (D, anti-codon, and T loops). The record is from Rfam by way of RNAcentral. Lineage: Eukaryota; Metazoa; Chordata; Actinopteri; Beloniformes; Adrianichthyidae.